RNAcentral lists this ribosomal RNA (627 nucleotides) under Enterococcus faecalis. Its description in RNAcentral is "bacterial SSU rRNA". It matches the Rfam family "Bacterial small subunit ribosomal RNA", at positions 847 to 1474 of the family's 1533-position model. Lineage: Bacteria; Bacillati; Bacillota; Bacilli; Lactobacillales; Enterococcaceae. The record is from RNAcentral.
UGCAGCAAACGCAUUAAGCACUCCGCCUGGGGAGUACGACCGCAAGGUUGAAACUCAAAGGAAUUGACGGGGGCCCGCACAAGCGGUGGAGCAUGUGGUUUAAUUCGAAGCAACGCGAAGAACCUUACCAGGUCUUGACAUCCUUUGACCACUCUAGAGAUAGAGCUUUCCCUUCGGGGACAAAGUGACAGGUGGUGCAUGGUUGUCGUCAGCUCGUGUCGUGAGAUGUUGGGUUAAGUCCCGCAACGAGCGCAACCCUUAUUGUUAGUUGCCAUCAUUUAGUUGGGCACUCUAGCGAGACUGCCGGUGACAAACCGGAGGAAGGUGGGGAUGACGUCAAAUCAUCAUGCCCCUUAUGACCUGGGCUACACACGUGCUACAAUGGGAAGUACAACGAGUCGCUAGACCGCGAGGUCAUGCAAAUCUCUUAAAGCUUCUCUCAGUUCGGAUUGCAGGCUGCAACUCGCCUGCAUGAAGCCGGAAUCGCUAGUAAUCGCGGAUCAGCACGCCGCGGUGAAUACGUUCCCGGGCCUUGUACACACCGCCCGUCACACCACGAGAGUUUGUAACACCCGAAGUCGGUGAGGUAACCUUUUUGGAGCCAGCCGCCUAAGGUGGGAUAGAUGA